UUCCUACGGGUGGCAGCAGUGGGGAAUAUUGCACAAUGGGCGCAAGCCUGAUGCCGCCAUGCCGCGUGUAUGAAGAAGGCCUUCGGGUUGUAAAGUACUUUCAGCGGGGAGGAAGGUGCUGAGGUUAAUAACCUCAGCAAUUGACGUUACCCGCAGAAGAAGCACCGGCUAACUCCGUGCCAGCAGCCGCGGGAAUACGGAUGGUGCACGCGUUAAUCGGAGUUACUGGGCGUAAAGCGCACGCAGGCGGUCUGUCAAGUCGGAUGUGAAAUCCCAGGGCUCAACCGUGGAACUGCAUUGGAAACUGGCAGGCUAGAGUGUUGUAGAGGGGGGUAGAAUUCCAGGUGUAGCGGUGAAAUGCGUAGAGAUCUGGAGGAAUACCGGUGGCGAAGGCGGCCCCCUGGACAAAGACUGACGCUCAGGUGCGAAAGCGUGGGGAGCAAACAGGAUUAGAUACCCUGGUAGUC
This 467-nucleotide ribosomal RNA is filed under the name uncultured Enterobacteriaceae bacterium. Its description in RNAcentral is "bacterial SSU rRNA". It matches the Rfam family "Bacterial small subunit ribosomal RNA", at positions 336 to 795 of the family's 1533-position model. The record is from RNAcentral. Lineage: Bacteria; Pseudomonadati; Pseudomonadota; Gammaproteobacteria; Enterobacterales; Enterobacteriaceae.